CUAUACUCUCUCUCAAGCCACUCUACUAUCUUCGUUCAGCCACCAGCGCCGCCGGCGACUCCGCCGUGGCACUACAAUUUCAUGGAUGGAGUUUGAAGCUCCACGCACACACACUUCGAAAAUCCUUGGAAUUGGAGGGUUUGGAGGUCGAUGACGACUAAGAAGAGUGCCACAACGAGCUUCGGCUCGCCUAUUUUGUCUGUAUGGAGACGUGAACUCGGCCAACUUUCUUCUCGAAACUUCGUUAGCCGUAUUGCUGCCUCCGAGGAUGUGGUGCUUCGUCUUGAUGUUCAGCGGAAACUGCUCCGGCACCGGGAUAACGUGACCUCUGUUUGUUUCAAUGAAUCUGGUGAUAUCCUCAUAUCGUGUUCCAGCGAUAUGAAGAUCAA
This is a long non-coding RNA of Salvia splendens (bonfire salvia), 389 nucleotides long. RefSeq lists it as uncharacterized. NCBI's taxonomy places the organism in Eukaryota, Viridiplantae, Streptophyta, Magnoliopsida, Lamiales, Lamiaceae. The transcript is spliced from 3 exons. The record is from RefSeq and is a predicted model, not a curated record.